This 654-nucleotide ribosomal RNA is filed under the name uncultured Sebacina. RNAcentral describes it as "eukaryotic LSU rRNA". The stretch from base 235 to 388 matches the Rfam family "5.8S ribosomal RNA". The record is from RNAcentral. Lineage: Eukaryota; Fungi; Basidiomycota; Agaricomycetes; Sebacinales; Sebacinaceae.
CUUGGUCAUUUAGAGGAAGUAAAAGUCGUAACAAGGUUUCCGUAGGUGAACCUGCGGAAGGAUCAUUAAUGAUUGCGAAUGGUUGCCUUCGGUGCUGGCUCUUGCAAGUGCACGUUGGUGACUUUCAUCCAACACCCCUGUGAACCUUUGGCCUCUUGCUAGCUUCGGCGUGCAGAGGAUUUUUACACACUCGAAUGUAAUGAAAACUAUUGUCGUGCGCAAGCACUAAUGUACAACUUUCAACAACGGAUCUCUUGGCUCUCGCAUCGAUGAAGAACGCAGCGAAAUGCGAUAAGUAAUGUGAAUUGCAGAAUUCAGUGAAUCAUCGAAUCUUUGAACGCACCUUGCACCCUUUGGUAUUCCGAAGGGUAUGCUCGUUUGAGUGUCAUUGUACUCUCACACUCUCUGAUCCUUUGGAUUCAGGGAGUGGUGGACUUGGGUGUUUGCUGCUUUCCCGGUGGCUCACCUCAAAUGCGUUAGUGCACCUCUUGGUUGGACAUAGUACGGCGUGAUAAGUAUCUUCGCCGGCACCUCGCAAGAGGGUGGCCGAUUGGGAGCUCUGUGCUUUCAAACCGUCUUCGGACAAUCUUGACAACUUGACCUCAAAUCGAGUAGGACUACCCGCUGAACUUAAGCAUAUCAAUAAGCGGAGGA